Molecule: long non-coding RNA, 882 nt
Organism: Eriocheir sinensis (Chinese mitten crab)
Lineage: Eukaryota; Metazoa; Arthropoda; Malacostraca; Decapoda; Varunidae
Exons: 6
Source: RefSeq, a predicted model, not a curated record
CCCAAAACGUGGAUUGUCUACGACAUCUAACGGGCACCACAAGCCCGGGUUUGUUGUUCGGAGUUUGCUCUCCUAGGUGAAUUGCCUACCACGGCUAACGACCUCCACCUGCCCGGGUUUGUUGUUCGGAGUUUGCUCUCCUAGGUGAAUUGCCUACCACGGCUAACGACCUCCACCUGCCCGGGUUUGUUGUUCGGAGUUUGCUCUCCUAGGUGAACUGCCUACCACGGCUAACGACCUCCACCUGCCCGGGUUUGUUGAUCGGAGUUUGCUCUCCUAGGUGAAUUGCCUACCACGGCUAACGACCUCCACCUGCCCGGGUUUGUUGAUCGGAGUUUGCUCUCCUAGGUGAAUUGCCUACCACGGCUAACGACCUCCACCUGCCCGGGUUUGUUGUUCGGAGUUUGCUCUCCUAGGUGAAUUGCCUACCACGGCUAACGACCUCCACCUGCCCGUGUUUGUUGUUCGGAGUUUGCUCUCCUAGGUGAAUUGCCUACCACGGCUAACGACCUCCACCUGCCCGGGUUUGUUGUUCGGAGUUUGCUCUCCUAGGUGAAUUGCCUACCACGGCUAACGACCUCCACCUGCCCGGGUUUGUUGAUCGGAGUUUGCUCUCCUAGGUGAAUUGCCUACCACGGCUAACGACCUCCACCUGCCCGGGUUUGUUGUUCGGAGUUUGCUCUCCUAGGUGAAUUGCCUACCACGGCUAACGACCUCCACCUGCCCGGGUUUGUUGUUCGGAGUUUGCUCUCCUAGGUGAAUUGCCUUCCGCGGCUUACGAGCCCCACCUGCCCGGGUUUGUUUAAAGUUUGCUCUCCUAGGCAGAUUGCCUACCACGGCUAACGAGCCCCACCUGCCCGGGUUUGCUGUUCGGAGUUUGCU